UUUCUGUAGGUGAACCUGCGGAAGGAUCAUUCAUAAUAAGUGUUUUAUGGCACUUUUUUAAAUCCAUAUCCACCUUGUGUGCAAUGUCAGGGUUGAUUUUUCUCUCGAGAGGAUCGGCCCCAAACAUCAACUAUAUCUCAACUCUUUGUCUGAAAAAUAUUAUGAAUAAAACAAUUCAAAAUACAACUUUCAACAACGGAUCUCUUGGCUCUC
Molecule: unclassified non-coding RNA, 213 nt
Filed under: plant metagenome
Description: partial contains small subunit ribosomal RNA, internal transcribed spacer 1, and 5.8S ribosomal RNA
Source: RNAcentral